This 301-nucleotide ribosomal RNA is filed under the name uncultured bacterium. Its description in RNAcentral is "partial 16S ribosomal RNA". It matches the Rfam family "Bacterial small subunit ribosomal RNA", at positions 510 to 808 of the family's 1533-position model. The record is from RNAcentral.
AGUCGCCACGGGAAUACGAAGGGUGCAAGCGUUAAUCGGAAUUACUGGGCGUAAAGCGUGCGUAGGCGGUGAGUUAAGUCUGCUGUGAAAUCCCCGGGCUCAACCUGGGAAUGGCAGUGGAUACUGGCUCGCUAGAGUGUGUCAGAGGAUGGUGGAAUUCCCGGUGUAGCGGUGAAGUGCGUAGAGAUCGGGAGGAACAUCAGUGGCGAAGGCGGCCAUCUGGGACAACACUGACGCUGAGGCACGAAAGCGUGGGGAGCAAACAGGAUUAGAUACCCCGGUAGUCCCUGUCUCUUAUACA